The sequence is a transfer RNA, 166 nucleotides long. It matches the Rfam family "tRNA". From Rfam's summary of the family: Transfer RNA (tRNA) molecules are approximately 80 nucleotides in length. The record is from Rfam.
GGCCGGCUGGCGUAAUGGUAACGCGUCCGUUUCCGGCUCCCUUUUCUCUAAACCGGAUCCAUGAAAUAACAUCCAUACUUCUUGUCUUUAUGUGGAAGUGUGUAUGGUAUUCCUUGGCUAUAAUGUAUAUACGGAAGAUUUGCAGGUUCGAGUCCUGCGUCGGUCG